UAUAGAUAACAAGUUAAACUAAGUAUUUUUUCUGUUUCACAUACAAAACCUAACUGGUGGGUUUGCUUUUUGAUGCUUCAUUACUUGAGUCUACUAAGUGGAUAAGGGCAUGUAAAGUUCAUUUCCAGCCCACAGUUCUUUAAGCAUUUAUUUCCUUGUCAGUGUUACUAUGUCAGCAAGUAUGUGUGGGUGGUAAGGAAGGCCCUGGGAAUACUAACCAUUUACCGAUUAAAUAGGAAGCUGCAAAAAAAUAGUGUAAAUAAGGAAAGGAGCCAUCAGCUAAUCCCAACAUUCUAGGUUAAAAAAAUCAAAGGUUUGUAAGUAAAAACAUGACAGCAUUGCAUAUAUUUUUGACCAGAUUUCUCACAACCUUGAGAUAAACAUUGCCCACAGCGAGAGUUAAUGGUAGUGAAUGCCUUAUAUUUUAAUGUGCUUUAAUCUGGUGUGUUGUCCUCAGUGAAAGGAAUAAAAAGGCUAGGUUAUCAAGAGAGGAAACACAGGCCCUUACGUCUAGCUGCCUUUUACAUGAAUAGUUGCAAGCAGCAUCUUGAGUUCUUGGACUCUGAGGAGUGCAUUGUUUGUUGUCUUUGGCAUACAGAAACGGGUCAACCAGUCUCCAAACAGGGAUUCUUAAAAACCGGAGCAAGAGAUGUAUCCACUAAAGGGGAAUGCGGAUGUUUUUGCAAGCAGGUUCCUCCACUCCCUCCUGGUGUAUCCCCCACAGCCCUGGUAACAUUGUGACCUGUUUUCUACAACCAGUUUGUGCCUAUCCCAGUUGCCAAAUAUAGCACAACUUGAUCUCCUUCCAUUCUUAGAAACAAAGAAGCCCUUUGUUUUUGCCUUUCAAGAUGAUAAAGGGAAUUGUAGUCAUUCCUCCAGUGGCUAAUACCCGCCAGCAGAUCCUGAAAGAUGCCGUUGAUUUCUAGAUGUAUCCUGAUUUCAAGUUUUCUUCAAAAGUGUGGCUACCCAACAUAAACAACCUCUACCCACAUUCCAUUUGAAGUGCUGAAAACUGAAAAGUAUAUGGACUUUGGUGCCUGGCAGAACUGGGUCCUCAUUCCAGCAACGAUCCUGAUUCCCAUACAUUUUCUACUCUGUAAAAUAAAGGAAAUAAUAUAAGGGAAUAACACAGGAAUAAUUGUGCUGUUUCUCUGAGCUGAGAUGCUACACAGAGAUCACGGUGCAGGGCUUUUUUGUUGUUGUUGUUGUUUUUGAGACAGAGUCUGGCUCUGUUGCCCAGGC
Macaca mulatta (Rhesus monkey) is the source of this 1242-nucleotide non-coding RNA. NCBI's taxonomy places the organism in Eukaryota, Metazoa, Chordata, Mammalia, Primates, Cercopithecidae. The record is from RefSeq and is a predicted model, not a curated record.